Molecule: non-coding RNA, 78 nt
Organism: Schistosoma mansoni
Lineage: Eukaryota; Metazoa; Platyhelminthes; Trematoda; Strigeidida; Schistosomatidae
Source: Rfam
AGCUUUCUGAAUCCGUGACAAGAUUUCAUCGGACACCAGACCAUCAAAGCUGAUAAGAAUUCCAAGAUAAGUGAAUUG